UCAGAUGAAUUUGCUUUAUUAGCACAUAUUUGAGCCUUUUUUUUUUUUGAGAAUAGGAGAAAACAAGUUAUAAACUAAUCAUAAUUAGUAUACUAGACAACAAAUAAUUGAUUAGUUGCAAUUAUUUAGAUUACUACUCCAUCCACAAUUUCAUGCCUUCAUAAAAAGCCUCCGCUCCACCGUAAUUUCUCUCUUCCCAAUCACUGUCGACUUCAAUAAGCAACUCGGACCAUCCCGUUUCAGGUAAAUAAAAUAUUUUUUGCAUUCUUUUAUUGAAUCAAAGUAUUUCAACAUAUUUGCAAGUUUUUAUUUCAGUUUGGGUUAUUUCUUGUCAGAGUUCUGAUCUGAGUUUUCAAUUUCUUGACCUGGGGCUGUGAUUUCUUGGCUUCUUGUUUGGCCCCAUACACAAGUUUUAACAAUGACCAAUUCUUAAUUCCACACACAUUACAACAUAUUCAACUCUUUUUUUUCUUUUGUACUUUGUGUUAUGGAUUGGAUUAUACAUACCCAAAAUUUCUUCACCAUUUUCUUAAAUUCCUCAAAUUUUCUUGAUUUCAUUAAACCCCUUUUUUGCUGUUAUAGUAAGUAGCCAUGGUGAAGGUUGCUGUCAUGGUGGUUCAAGCUUUGGAAAUAACCUCUUACAUAAAUGCAAGAUUUUCUGACGAAAUCACGGCGACUACGGCAAAGAUACAUCCAUCAGCUUCUCCGGGAUGAGUGCAGGUGAAUUUUAUCCUCAAAAUUCCCACCAACUGUAUGCAUAAUUUUCACUAUUGUGUAGUUCUCAAUGAAAAAAUAUCUCAAAUAAGCACAAAUUGAGCUUAUUAAGUGAUGUGUCAUAUUUAAUUCCAAAGGAGUUGAUACUCUGUUUCAUUUGGCUUGUGUUCUUUCUGUCUCUUUUUUUUGGGUAAGUUUGAUUAAUGUAACUUACUGGGGAAAUGUUGAUGUGUAUGACCUGUUAUUUAACA
Long non-coding RNA from Capsicum annuum, 965 nucleotides. RefSeq lists it as uncharacterized. The record is from RefSeq and is a predicted model, not a curated record. The transcript has 2 exons. NCBI's taxonomy places the organism in Eukaryota, Viridiplantae, Streptophyta, Magnoliopsida, Solanales, Solanaceae.